AGCCCAAAAUGGGUGGUAAACUCCAUCUAAAGCUAAAUACUGGCACGAGACCGAUAGCGAACAAGUACCGUGAGGGAAAGAUGAAAAGCACUUUGAAAAGAGAGUAAAACAGCACGUGAAACCGUUAACAGGGAAACGAAUGGGGUUAGCAAUGCGCUGCGCGAGAUCCAGUCGGCGGGCGGACAGCGCGGACGGCUCCCAGCGGAUCCGCAUGGACCGCGGCCGUUCGGACUCAGCCCUCUCUCCGCCGACGCACCUCUCGCCAGCGCGCGUCAGCGUCGGUUGGCAACGAGUCUCAAAGGCGAUUCGGGGAAGGUAGGGCCGUCGAUUCGGCCCGUUUACAGCCCCUCGUCCGAUAAUGGCUCGAGGCCGACCGAGGAACAGCGGCGCGAGCGAGCUCUUUCGGGGGCUUGCUUGGGGGGCCGUCGGUSUGCUCGGCGAAUUCUGAACUGCGGCGGACUGGCUUGCAGUGCGCCGCGACCGUCGCCGGGCGCUCCUUCGGACUUUCACUCACAACUUACGCGCCCACGACGCUGGCGGUCAAAUGGCCUCAUCCGACCCGUCUUGAAACACGGACCAAGGAGUCUAACAUGUGCGCAAGUCUUCGAGUGACCGAAACUCCCAGGCGCAAUGAAAGAGAAGAGACCAAGCACGAGGUGAGAACCCCCCGCCCUCGCAGGCGGCGGCGCAUCAUCGACCGACCUACC
This 707-nucleotide ribosomal RNA is filed under the name Liponema brevicorne. RNAcentral describes it as "eukaryotic LSU rRNA". It matches the Rfam family "Eukaryotic large subunit ribosomal RNA", at positions 284 to 774 of the family's 3401-position model. Lineage: Eukaryota; Metazoa; Cnidaria; Anthozoa; Actiniaria; Liponematidae. The record is from RNAcentral.